CCUGAAAAUAAGAGGCUUGUCAUGUCUCUCCAUUUGGUGGAAUGGAUGUGGGACCAGGGGUCAUGUGGCCGCUUCCAUCUGUCUCCUGACAGAGGCACUGACUCAGACAUGCUUUCCAUCCACAGGGCUGCAGCCCACAGCCAGGUGACUGCAAGCUCUCCAUGGGCAUCAAGAAAAACAAGACUUCAAUUUCUUUGAACCCCUGUGUCAGGAGCUAGGCUGACUAUGAAAUAUGGCAGCUUAGGAGUGGCGUGAGUGAACUUUAAUUUCUGAGUUUUGUAAAGGAUUGAUAUUCCCUCAUAUGCUACAUGCUGCUCUUGCUGUCAAACCAGGCCAUGCAUUCACUGUUUCAUGAUAGAAUAAGAAAUUCAGAAUUGACAGGGACUAAACUCUGUGGCCCAGUCCCAUUCCUCAUCUGAUAUGUGAGUUCACUAUAACUUUGCAGGUAAACCCAAUGAUUGUCUGAACAUCACUGCUGGCUCCUAUAAUUGCUCAUGUUUGUCAGAAAGCUCAACUCUUAGAAAGUGUUUUCUUGUACUUUACCAAAAUCUAUUUUCUGGUGUUUUUCUCGCAUUAGUCCCUCCACAUGUUAAUAUGGGCCCUGGAAGCAGAGGCUCGUUCUCCCGAGAAGCUGCCCUCUACGCUAUGGGCCCUGCGUAAGUGUCAAUAAGGUGGCUCACUUGCCUUAUUUCCAGCAAUAACCCUGAUUUUCUUUGGAGAAUCUGCCCUCCUCCACUCUCAUGUCAUGAGGUUUAAUGACAUCUCUCUCCCUCCUUUCUCCAAGCUCGAUGGGUAGGCAUAAUUUCUAAAGCUAUGCAGUGGGACUCACUGUCCUGAACUUUCAAUCUUGAUUAGGUGGUAGAAGGACAGCCCCCCUGCCCUGAGACAACACUCGGAGGCCUGUAUUCCAGCGAGAGUGCCCUGACAAGACAGCUCUGGCCACCCUUGCCUGGCUCCUCCACCUUCCCGUCAGUUUCGUGAGUUCUCCAGCCUUUUCCCAGGUAAGUCCAGUUUCCCUUCAAUGUAUGAGAGUUAUAGUCUAUUGCCUAUAGCAAUAUCAUUCUCAAUAUAAAACAAAGUGCAGGUUUCAAUAGUAACCAGGCUCUGAGGCUGGUCUGCCUUGACUCACGUUAGCCUCGCUGACACAGCUCUCUGGGUUUCCUGGUGGGCACCUCAUUCUUCCACCAUCCAUUAAGGGACAGCCUAGCCUUGGGCCUGAGUGCUCAGAAGUUAUUUAGGAUCUGAGACUCUUGCUUGGGGGUGAUGAGUAGCUCCUGUAUUUGCAGAAUGAAUUCUCGGUGGGACCUUUGAAAAAAUAAAAAAUAAAUUAGGAUCCAAAUGAGGACCAGAUAUUGAGAUUCAUGGAGAUUCAUAGAUAUGUCUUUUAAUGUAAUAUAUGUCCUUUAAUUCUUUAAUCUAUGGAUUCCCUCUCUCUCUGUCUCUUUCUCUCCAGCUGCUUUCCUCUAAGACAUGGCUUAUUGUUCACUGUUGUAUCUCUGUUGCCUAAAACAGCAGGUGUGGCAGACAGACUUUAAGGUGUCCCAUGAUUCCUACCUCUUGGGGUCUACAGCUUUGUGUAAUCCCAUCCCCUUGGCUGUGGCUUGCCUCUAGCCAAUAGGAUGUGGCAAAGGUGAUGAGAUGUUAUGCCCAUGGUUAUGUUAUAGAAGAGUCUGUCUUGUUAUCACUCUCUCUCUGUCCCUCUCCCUGUUACUGGCUUUGAAGGAACAAGCUUCCAUGAAAUAAAUGGCCAUAUUGGAGAAGCCCAAGUGGCAAGGAACUGUCAGCAGUCUCUAAGAGCUGAGGGUAGACUCCAGCAAGAAACUGAAACCCUCAGUCUGACAGCCACAAGGAAAUAAAUUCUGCCAACAACCUGAAGAAGCUUGGAGCAGAUCUUUCCUCAGUUGAGCCUCUGAUGAGACUGCAGCCCGAGCUGUCACCUGGAUAGCAGCUGGUGAAACCCUUCAACAGAGAAACCAGCCAACCUGUGUGUAAACUUCUGACCUGCAGAAACUGUAGAUAAAGAGUGUGUGUUAUUUAGAACUGCUAAGUUUGUGGUAGUUAAGCAGCAUAGAAAAUGAAUACAGUAGGCCAGGAGUGGUGGCUCACGCCUGUAAUCCCA
This 2119-nucleotide long non-coding RNA is filed under the name Homo sapiens (human). RNAcentral's name for it is "non-protein coding lnc-GPATCH2L-1:1". The record is from RNAcentral. Lineage: Eukaryota; Metazoa; Chordata; Mammalia; Primates; Hominidae.